AAUCUGCUGCUGCUGCUGAUGAUGAUAUUUUCGGGAAGAUUGAUAAAGUUGGUAAGGUAAUCAAAGAGUUUGUUGAGCUUGGUCUCAAAGCUGAUGACGCUAUUCUUGGAGAGAUUCCAGAUGAAUUUCUUGACCCAAUACUGUAUACACUGAUGAGAGAUCCUGUCAUUCUACCUUUAUCAAGACAAUCAGUAGACCGGCCAGUUAUGCAAAGCCACUUGCUGAAUGGCAAUACCGAUCCAUUCACCCGUUCUCAUCUGACUCAAGACAUGUUAAUACCAAACAUAGAGCUGAAACAAAGAUUUGAAGACUUUAUCAUAUCUCGAAGGAAACGGAAACGCAUCAGAGGGUAUGAAACUUCAAAAGAUGAUUGUGGUUGAGUAAAUGCAUAUUAUCUUCUUUGCUUAAAGAACUAAAGGAGGAAUCCAGAC
Molecule: long non-coding RNA, 431 nt
Organism: Zingiber officinale
Lineage: Eukaryota; Viridiplantae; Streptophyta; Magnoliopsida; Zingiberales; Zingiberaceae
Exons: 3
Source: RefSeq, a predicted model, not a curated record